CAGUUCGGACUGCAGGCUGCAACUCGCCUGCACGAAGUUGGAAUUGCUAGUAAUCGUGGAUCAGCAUGCCACGGUGAAUACGUUCCCGGGUCUUGUACACACCGCCCGUCACACCAUGGGAGCCGGUAAUACCCGAAGUCAGUAGUCUAACCGCAAGGAGGACGCUGCCGAAGGUAGGAUUGGCGACUGGGGUGAAGUCGUAACAAGGUAGC
RNAcentral lists this ribosomal RNA (212 nucleotides) under uncultured bacterium. RNAcentral describes it as "partial 16S ribosomal RNA". It matches the Rfam family "Bacterial small subunit ribosomal RNA", at positions 1289 to 1500 of the family's 1533-position model. The record is from RNAcentral.